This 562-nucleotide ribosomal RNA is filed under the name fungal sp. AM2013. RNAcentral's name for it is "eukaryotic LSU rRNA". The stretch from base 189 to 342 matches the Rfam family "5.8S ribosomal RNA". Lineage: Eukaryota; Fungi. The record is from RNAcentral.
UCCCAACCCAAUGUGAACGUUACCAAACUGUUGCCUCGGCGGGAUCUCUGCCCCGGGUGCGUCGCAGCCCCGGACCAAGGCGCCCGCCGGAGGACCAACCAAAACUCUUAUUGUAUACCCCCUCGCGGGUUUUUUUUAUAAUCUGAGCCUUCUCGGCGCCUCUCGUAGGCGUUUCGAAAAUGAAUCAAAACUUUCAACAACGGAUCUCUUGGUUCUGGCAUCGAUGAAGAACGCAGCGAAAUGCGAUAAGUAAUGUGAAUUGCAGAAUUCAGUGAAUCAUCGAAUCUUUGAACGCACAUUGCGCCCGCCAGUAUUCUGGCGGGCAUGCCUGUCCGAGCGUCAUUUCAACCCUCGAACCCCUCCGGGGGGUCGGCGUUGGGGAUCGGCCCUGCCUUGGCGGUGGCCGUCUCCGAAAUACAGUGGCGGUCUCGCCGCAGCCUCUCCUGCGCAGUAGUUUGCACACUCGCAUCGGGAGCGCGGCGCGUCCACAGCCGUUAAACACCCAACUUCUGAAAUGUUGACCUCGGAUCAGGUAGGAAUACCCGCUGAACUUAAGCAUAUA